CAGCACCUCAAGUGGUCAGGAUGAUUAUUGGGCCUAAAGCAUCCGUAGCCGGCGCUGUAAGUUUUCGGUUAAAUCUGUACGCUCAACGUACAGGCUGCCGGGAAUACUGCAGCGCUAGGGAGUGGGAGAGGUAGACGGUACUCGGUAGGAAGGGGUAAAAUCCUUUGAUCUAUUGAUGACCACCUGUGGCGAAGGCGGUCUACCAGAACACGUCCGACGGUGAGGGAUGAAAGCUGGGGGAGCAAACCGGAUUAGAGACCCCUGUAGUCC
This 270-nucleotide ribosomal RNA is filed under the name uncultured archaeon. RNAcentral describes it as "partial 16S ribosomal RNA". It matches the Rfam family "Archaeal small subunit ribosomal RNA", at positions 477 to 747 of the family's 1478-position model. The record is from RNAcentral.